UGCCAGCAGCCGCGGUAAUACGGAGGGUGCAAGCGUUAAUCGGAAUUACUGGGCGUAAAGCGCGCGUAGGCGGAAUGUUAAGUCUCAUGUGAAAGCCCUGGGCUCAACCUGGGAACUGCAUGGGAUACUGGCAUUCUAGAAUACAGUAGAGGGAGGUGGAAUUUCAGGUGUAGCGGUGAAAUGCGUAGAGAUCUGAAGGAAUACCAGUGGCGAAGGCGGCUUUCUGGACCGAUACUGACGCUGAGACGCGAAAGCGUGGGGAGCAAACAGGAUUAGAUA
This 279-nucleotide ribosomal RNA is filed under the name uncultured bacterium. Its description in RNAcentral is "partial 16S ribosomal RNA". It matches the Rfam family "Bacterial small subunit ribosomal RNA", at positions 506 to 784 of the family's 1533-position model. The record is from RNAcentral.